GACUCAGUGGCACAGCGGUAGUGCAUCCACACAAUCUAAUCGGCCAGAUCUAGACGUUUCUGCGGAGGAAGCCCGUUCGACUCGGGCCUGGGCCA
Molecule: non-coding RNA, 95 nt
Organism: Mycena latifolia
Lineage: Eukaryota; Fungi; Basidiomycota; Agaricomycetes; Agaricales; Mycenaceae
Source: the annotation of a GenBank genome assembly